UACAGAGGAGCCAAGCGUUGUCCGGAUUGACUGGGCGUAAAGCGCACGCAGGCGGAUGCGCGCGUGGGGUGUGAAAUCUGGCCGCUUAACGGCCAGGCGCCAUCCCAUACGGCGCGUCUGGAGUGAUGCAGAGGUCGAUGGAAUUGCCGGUGUAGUGGUGAAAUGCGUAGAGAUCGGCAGGAACACCCAGGGGGAAACCAGUCGACUGGGCAUCUACUGACGCUGAGGUGCGAGAGCGUGGGGAGCGGAACCGG
This 254-nucleotide ribosomal RNA is filed under the name uncultured bacterium. RNAcentral describes it as "partial 16S ribosomal RNA". It matches the Rfam family "Bacterial small subunit ribosomal RNA", at positions 524 to 776 of the family's 1533-position model. The record is from RNAcentral.